Molecule: ribosomal RNA, 469 nt
Filed under: Priestia endophytica
Lineage: Bacteria; Bacillati; Bacillota; Bacilli; Caryophanales; Bacillaceae
Description: bacterial SSU rRNA
Rfam family: Bacterial small subunit ribosomal RNA
Source: RNAcentral
UCGAGCGGAGUAUUUGAAAAGCUUGCUUUUCAAAUCUUAGCGGCGGACGGGUGAGUAACACGUGGGCAACCUGCCCUUGAGACGGGGAUAACUCCGGGAAACCGGAGCUAAUACCGGAUAACACAUAUCUUCGCAUGAGGAUAUGUUAGAAGGUGGCUUUUAGCUACCACUCAAGGAUGGGCCCGCGGCGCAUUAGCUAGUUGGUGAGGUAACGGCUCACCAAGGCGACGAUGCGUAGCCGACCUGAGAGGGUGAUCGGCCACACUGGGACUGAGACACGGCCCAGACUCCUACGGGAGGCAGCAGUAGGGAAUCUUCCGCAAUGGACGAAAGUCUGACGGAGCAACGCCGCGUGAGUGAUGAAGGUUUUCGGAUCGUAAAGCUCUGUUGUUAGGGAAGACAAGUACCUGUUAAAUAAGCAGGUACCUUGACGGUACCUAACCAGAAAGCCACGGCUAACUACGUGCCA